GAUGAACGCUGACAGAAUGCUUAACACAUGCAAGUCAACUUGAAUUUGGGUUUUUACCUUAGGUUUGGGUGGCGGACGGGUGAGUAACGCGUAAAGAACUUGCCUCACAGCUAGGGACAACAUUUGUAAACGAAUGCUAAUACCUAAUAUUAUGAUAAUAGGGCAUCCUAUAAUUAUGAAAGCUAUAAGCGCUGUGAGAGAGCUUUGCGUCCCAUUAGCUAGUUGGAGAGGUAACGGCUCACCAAGGCGAUGAUGGGUAGCCGGCCUGAGAGGGUGAUCGGCCACAGGGGGACUGAGACACGGCCCUUACUCAUACGGGAGGCAGCAGUGGGGAAUAUUGGACAAUGGACCGAGAGUCUGAUCCAGCAAUUCUGUGUGCACGAUGAAGUUUUUCGGAAUGUAAAGUGCUUUCAGUUGGGAAGAAACAAAUGACGGUACCAACAGAAGAAGUGACGGCUAAAUACGUG
Molecule: ribosomal RNA, 467 nt
Filed under: uncultured bacterium
Lineage: Bacteria
Description: partial 16S ribosomal RNA
Rfam family: Bacterial small subunit ribosomal RNA
Source: RNAcentral